Molecule: long non-coding RNA, 623 nt
Filed under: Nicotiana benthamiana
Lineage: Eukaryota; Viridiplantae; Streptophyta; Magnoliopsida; Solanales; Solanaceae
Description: long non-coding RNA (NBEN_LNC002442)
Source: RNAcentral
UAUUUAAAAUACUUGUAGUGUAUACAUUAUUAGUUUUGAAUUUGUUCACUCCUAUGUUUUCUCAAAAAGCUUUGCCUUAAAGUACAAGAAGUCAAUUCUUUUGCUCUCAGUCAAUUGACUGGCUUGGUAAAUAUUAGAAUCUAGAAUUGUACUGUUGUAUAUGCUGCAUGCUACAUUACAAAAGCAUCAAUUGUGUUUUAUACUUUUAUUACAUGUCAAAAUUUUAUGUAACAGUGUUUUAGAAAUGGUGGAAGUUUUUAUAAGCUUGUUAGCGUGUCUGUUCGUAAAUGUUAAGUAUAUGUUCGACCAUCGAUUAGAGCAUUUAUUUCAGUUUUUUAUGAAUAAUUGGCUUUAAAAAGUGGUAACUUUUAUUUUAUGUAAAGAUUCUUCAUUGAAAUGCUCAAGAUAGAGCACCACUAACUGAAAAAUGAUAAUUUUGAGUGAUAAAAUCAGGUUCAUAUAGCAAAUAAUAAAUCAAUAUAGACUAGGCGUGCUUGAUGAAGGGAGACUAUGGAGCUCAGGCCCUAGGGUAAAAUCCGCUUGGUUCAUUGUUGAAUUCAAGACCAACUUAUUAAUUUAGACUGGCAGUGGAGGGAACCAUCCAUGAAUUGCCUCUAUUUAGU